RNAcentral lists this ribosomal RNA (512 nucleotides) under uncultured bacterium. RNAcentral describes it as "bacterial SSU rRNA". It matches the Rfam family "Bacterial small subunit ribosomal RNA", at positions 8 to 518 of the family's 1533-position model. The record is from RNAcentral.
AGGGUUCGAUUCUGGCUCAGGAUGAACGCUAGCUACAGGCUUAACACAUGCAAGUCGAGGGGUAGCAGGGUAGCAAUACCGCUGACGACCGGCGCACGGGUGAGUAACACGUAUCCAACCUUCCCAUAACUCAGGGAUAGCCUUUCGAAAGAAAGAUUAAUACCUGAUAGUACUUUUUCAAGGCAUCUUGAGAAGUUAAAGAUUUAUUGGUUAUGGAUGGGGAUGCGUUCCAUUAGAUAGUUGGUGAGGUAACGGCUCACCAAGUCUUCGAUGGAUAGGGGUUCUGAGAGGAAGGUCCCCCACAUUGGUACUGAGACACGGACCAAACUCCUACGGGAGGCAGCAGUGAGGAAUAUUGGUCAAUGGGCGAGAGCCUGAACCAGCCAAGUAGCGUGAAGGAUGAAGGUCCUAUGGAUUGUAAACUUCUUUUAUAGUAGAAUAAAGUGAUCCACGUGUGGAUUUUUGUAUGUAUACUAUGAAUAAGGAUCGGCUAACUCCGUGCCAGCAGCGGC